This 41477-nucleotide long non-coding RNA is filed under the name Ananas comosus (pineapple). RNAcentral's name for it is "long non-coding RNA (ACOM_LNC028539)". Lineage: Eukaryota; Viridiplantae; Streptophyta; Magnoliopsida; Poales; Bromeliaceae. The record is from RNAcentral.
UUGGGUUUGAGGUGCCUAAUUUACUGGUUGUUAUGCUUGAAAGGGUCCUAAUUUUCGGUAUCCUUGGGUUUCCUCGAGCUCGAUCUCUGUUCCCGCUGAUCUCAUUCAUGCCUUUCGUAUAAGAUUUGUGCUUUAGGUGUCUUAUUUACUGAUUGAUACACUUGAAACGAUCUGAUUCGUGAUUGUACCUAAAUCGAGGGGUUUUUGGUGGUUGAUAGUGAUGCUAGAAAUACGGAUCUUUUGUGGUUUAUUGUUUAUAAGGAAAUGUUGCUUUGAAUUGAUAUGUUCAGCUUCUGUGUGUUUCUAUUCCAUUGAUACCCUCCCUUUAAAAGGGAUAUUUUGCAGACAAAAGAAAAAAAAAAAAAAAAGAUCUUCAGGAAUGGAUUAAUUGCGUGAUGAUUAUUCUUUUUGUGCUUCAUAGUUAGAGUUGAACACUAUGUACAUUUACGGUGUUAUAUAAUGAUGGUAGGAGAGCUGUGAGGUUGCUGUUCACUGUGAAUUCAAACAUUCAUGAGGCUCUUAGAGAUGUUUACAGCCAUUUAAUUUCAAAACAUCAUGUGGCUCUUACAGAUGCUUUUUGCCAUUUAGCGAGUAGAUGAAAUAACUUGGAUUCUUGUUAGCUUUUAUAAUGGUUAUUCAGCUGUUUGGAAAGUUCAAAAUCUUUUCCUUUUUAAAGUGGUAUAGUCCAAGCGGACCAAGAUCAUACAGAUGUAUUUCUGUAACUCAAUAUAUUCAGGGCCUCUGUUCCUUCUUUUCAUUUUCCUAGGUUACUAGAGACAACAUCCUUUUAAUACGAUUAUAUGACCAUUGCUAUCUUCUUUCCUCCUAGAAAACUUAUGAUCGUGCGUCAAUAGCUGUCAGAAAGCUUCCCAUUUGAUCCUACUGUGAAUUGUUUAUCAUUGAUCAUCACCCAAAGUUGCAGUUUGAACUAAACUCGAGGCAAAUUGAUGAUCUCAGAAUGGAGACUCUUCUUCUUUAUAUGGUAACUUCUGCUCAAUUAAAGAGUCAUGUGUAACUCGAGCUUACACUUCAUAUAUAAUCUCUUAUCAAACAAGAAAAAGUUAUUAAAGUUUACAGAUUUUCAAGUACUAUUCUGUUUUCAGAAAGCAGUAAGGAACAUCGUAUAUUACCUGUGACAUCAAGCAGUAAACAAUGCCCAACAUUACAUACGUAUUAUGUACUACAUAACUCAUUAUGACCUAGUGAAUCUUCAGUUCUCCACUUUUGUAUGCUUUUAAGCACUCGACACUAAUAGAUUUGUUCGUUACUGCAACCGUAAUGCAGUUACACUAUUUAAAUCUUUAUUUGGUUCCGUUACUACUAAUUCCAUUUUCGUGCUAUCUCAUUGUUCUUCUUUCCUCAUCGUGUGAAACUACCCGAUACUAACUUAUCUAUGUGCUUAUUGUAGCCAUCCGCUCUGAUUCACCUGAAGAAUGAGAACCGGUGCACAAGUUGGAUGAAGAUGGGCUUCAUCGCAAGCUUUUGUUUGUUUUCAAGUGCUAAUGCAUAUUUGCUGUAAAAUCAGUGCGUGUACUCUUGAUUGGCGAGUACUAUCUAUCGAAACAGCUCAGAGAUAAAGCAUCCUUGAAUAAAAAUUAUUAUCAUGUUGGUACAGUUAAGCAACUGCUCGUUUGACUAUUGGAAUUUGGUUUAUUGAACCAUGUAUUAUGGAUUUAUUCUACACGGUUACCGUGUUUUAUCCUAUUUCAUUUCAUAUUGUUUUCUUGGUGCUGCAGUUUUUGUGAAAGGAUGUGGUUCUAACUGAGCCGAUUCUGUGCGAAAAAGAUUUGCCUGGAAUGGUUAAUUUGGUUUGUAUGCUUCUGAAAGACGACUCCACAAUUCUUGGGUUAUGAAAUGUUGAUAGAAGAAGAUAAUUCUGAUGGUGUUUAUGCAUGUCUUUUGAUUUAACAAAUAACAUCUACAAUGGUAUAUUAUGGUUGUAUGCAUAGAAGAAACAACGUGAUGCGGAAGAAGUACAUGGUCUUUUAUUUUUGUAAACUUGAAGUGAUGAUUUGUAUAGAAUAACACUGUCACGCAAUUAUUGAUUGUUUCUAGCAUAAGCGGUAAAAAAAAUUUGAUGAUUGAUAUUUUGAUGUUUCAAGUUUCAGUUCUAAUUGCUUAAUCAUUAUAAUAAUAACAAUAUUUGCAAGAGAUGCUCACUUUUGAAAUGGCUUAAUUACACUUGAGGAGCGUGAUAUGAGGAUAUUUGAUUUUUAAUUUAUUAUAAUUUUAUAAUUAAAUUAAGUUUUAUUAAUUUAAUCUAAUCAACUAAAUAGUAAUAUAUUUAUUAAUAUAAAAAUAAUAUAGUAAUAAUACUACUAAAAUUAAUUAAGAAGCGAGUGUAACGAGUCGAUCGUAACGAACUCCGUGGCAGUCGUCGUAAUUUCCACACAAGUGUCGGGGGCAAAGCGAACCAACCGUGCCAACGUGUUCUCUCCGCGGGAAAAUGCUCUCCCACCAUCUCCGCCUCUUCUCCCCUUCCCCUCCAAACCUUCCAUUUUUUUUAUUCCUAUUAAAAUAAAAAUAAUUACUAGAAAAAAAAUAUUGUCAUGGGAGAAACAGAUUAGAAGAAAAAAUAAUAAUAAUGUCGCAUUCUCAUCGCAAUAUGCUAUGCAAUUGCUCAGAUGAUUGAGAGAGAAAGAGAGAGAGAGAGAGAGAAUCAGAGAAGAGGAGUAAUUCAAAUUUUGCUGGAUUCAAAUCUCUUCCCUAUAUGAUUUGUGGAUGUUGAUAUAGAUAUCAUAAGGAGAGAGGGAAACUAGGAGGAUAAUGUCGGGGCUGAGCGACGGCGGGGCCGGGGAGAGGGAGGCGCUGGCGCCGAGCGCGCCGGCAGCGGCGCCGCGGGGGUCGAUCGUGGAGUCGUUCCGGGGCUGCGGGAUCGGCGGCGGCGGGGGGAGGGCGGAGAGGGAGGAGCUGCGGCAGAGGGUGGCCAUCCCCGGCCGCAUCCUGGCGGCGAUGGCGGCCGCAAUGCGGUCCAAGGACCCGAACUCCGCCGCCAAAAGCGCCGCCACCGCAGCCACCGAGGAGGAGGAGGAGGAGGAUGAGGAGGAUGCCGCCGCCGCCGCUGCUGCCGCUGCCGAGGUGGAGGGGAGGGUGGUCGAGGAGGAUCUCCCGGAGGCGCCCAUGGUGGCCUUCGUGAACUCCCGCAGCGGCGGCCGCCACGGCCCCAUCCUCAAGGGCCGCCUCCAGGAGCUGAUCGGCGAGGAACAGGUUCAAAACCAAACAAUCCUUUCUUCUUUUUCUUUUUCUUUUUCUUUUCAAUAUAUCCUUUAUAAUAAAUUAUAUGUAUAUAUAUACAUACAUGCAAUUAACUCCCUUCGAUAGAUUAAAAAUAUGCAAAGGGUUAUGGCAUCAAAAUUAACAUCAUUAAAAAUGAAUAUUUGAUAGAGUUAUAAUGAACUGAAAAUGUGAUAUAUAUAUAUAUAUAUAUAUAUAUAUAUAUAUAUAUAUAUUAAAAAAGAUAUAUAUGUACCAAUUUAUAGGUACGAUUUUAACUAAUUAUUUAGUUUUCUAUAUAUAAAAAAGUAUGCUAAAAUAUGUGAUGUGAUGAAUGAUCGAUGAAUAGGCUGUGUCUCGAUGUAGGAAUACACACAGCCUACGCAAUAAAUUUUUCCUUUUUUUAAACACUGUUGAGUUUUAUUGUGAGAAAAUACUUAGUUUGUAUUGAGGGAAUGCAGGGAAUGGAGGUUAUCAAGAAGCAGCAGUUGAUCAGAAACGCCACUCAGUUACUUCUUUAAAUUUUUUUUUGUUGCUUCAUUAUAUAAGAAUAACUCAAAAGUUAAUAUUGUAAAAGCUAAGAUAUGUGGAAAAAAUGUCGUAUUAGCGAGUAUUCAUGAUCGAAUAUCUGUUUCACGCGAUACAAAUCUGCUUCUGAAACUCUGCAUCUCUUGAAAAUCGAUUACCUCGUACAAUUUUAUAUAGCUAAUUUGCUUUCUACUUACAUAAAUCUUGCUGAAAAGUUCUUCUGAAUGAUGCAAUGCAGGUCUAUGAUCUUUUAGCUGUCGAGCCUUCGGAGUUUGUCUGGUACGGUUUGGGCUGCUUGGAGAAUCUGGCAGAUCUCGGUGAUUGCUCUGCAAGGGUCGUGCGCGAGAAGCUGAGAAUCAUGGUAAUUUUCUGAUCGAGUUCUGAAGGGUUAGAUAUCAUAUCAUAUUCUGAUGCAUUUCGAUUAGAAUACAUGCUGCUGCUUAGUCCUUUAUAUGUGACCUUCUUAUUCUAGAUGUGAAUAGUAUUUACCAUAUUAGACGGUGACAUUGCGAUUUCCUUGACAAACUUUUUGUUCAUCUUUGCGGCCUAUGGCCAAAUUUUAAUGAACUUCUAUUUUAUAUAUGUAUAAAUAAUGUGGCAGGUUGCAGGAGGUGAUGGUACAGUUGGUUGGGUGUUAGGAUGCCUGGCAGAGCUAUAUGUGCAAAAAAGAGAGCCAGUUCCACCGAUCGCCAUUAUCCCACUCGGAACAGGAAAUGAUCUUUCUAGGAGCUUCAGUUGGGUCAGUAUCUGCUUUCCGCUCUUAUUUUUGUCCCAUUUGGCCUACCUGUAGCUCCGUUAUAUAAAAGUAUCGGAAGAAGCACUUAGAGCUUGUCAUUAAAAUCUCUUUAAGCGCUUUGGUUGGGGCUCAUAACUCCUUUCGCACGAAAGCCUGGGUAUUUUAUUUGUCAAAUGGCUAAACUGGCUGCCUCUCUGAGAGGAAAAACUGUUCCGGAUAACACUCAUGCUUAAGUAUCUUUUUAGGGGCCUUCGUUUCCAUUUGCAUGGAGAUCAGCAGUCAAACGUUCUCUCUACAAGGCAAUGACGGGUCCAAUUUGCCGCCUAGACAGGUACGAAUUAUCUUCAGAUUGAAAUUAGAUCACAUUUCUUAUUCCUAUCAUUCUUUCACCUUGUAUGAUUUCAUUUAAAUAAAAAGAAACUAAUUUCAAUAUUUUCAAAACUCGUUCCUAAUUUCUAUCGCCAAGUUUGUUUUCCUCUUUAAUAUAAAAUUUUGAAAUAUUUUAAUGCAGUUGGGAUGUGACCGUCUCUAUGCCGGCAGGAGAAGAAGCGGAUGUAGAACUGCCACACUCUCUUAAGCCUCUGGGAAUGUGCGCUUUUGAUAAGGUUAUAUAUGUUUCUCCUUAAAUUAUGCUUCACACUUUUCUUAUAUUCUCUUUCUGAUUUUUUUUUUCUUUCUAAAUUAUACUUAUUUGCUCAUGAAUUUAAGAAGCGUUUGUACGGUAGCAUCUGGCGCAUUGUAUUCUUUCUUUUUGCAGCUGACCCUCCAAAUCGUACUCUUCCUCCUUUCAGUUCAUUUAAUUGCCAUACUGUGUUUCUUUUCUCACAUUCAGCUUCUAUGUGCAGCUCAGUAACUUGAGUUCUACGUUGACGGUACUAUCUCUUAAUAAUGCUUUUAUUUCUGCAGGAUGGAUACAUUGAGGGUGAUUUGCCAGAAAAGGUUUCUUGCUUUAAUGGAGUCUUCUAUAAUUAUUUUAGUAUAGGUAUGGUAUCUUUCCACUACUUUCAUGUUUCAGGUGGAAAGCAAACUCUGUUCAAUCAUUUGGACCACGUAGUGCUGUUCAUUGUCAAAGAUUUGUUAAUUUAACUUUUUAUCUGAUUUAACUACUUGUUUUGUUAUUUCUUCUUAUAGAUCAUUUCUCAUAUUAUGGUCACAUUAUUGUAAGGUCGACCAAUAUGGUGCUUUGGCUCUUUGUUUACGUAUUCUUACCUCCUUGUCCUGAUGUUUUCUAUAAUGAGAUUAUGAUCCGCUCUUUACGAGAGUUUAUGGGUUCAGUUCAGUCCCCGAAAAACUGUAUCGUAAGCUUUUUUCUGGAAAAAAAAAAGAAAGAGAAAAAAGAAGAGAUUGGUUUUUAAUUCUCUUAUAUUUUGCUGUGAGACCUAGGGCUUUUAAUGUCGUUCCCCUUCCGGAUGUUAAAUUUAUCUAUUUUUCUUCUAUAUAACGUAUGACUGGACUCUUCUUCAUGUAGGAAUGGAUGCUCAGGUUGCGUAUGGAUUUCAUCAGUUGCGUGAUGAGAAACCGUUCCUUGCCCCCAGUCCAUUAGCUAAUAAGGUAUGUCUCUGUUUACAGUCCAUUUUCCAUAUCAAUUGCUACUAUGAACAAUUCCAUUUUGUUUUUGUCGCUUAUCCUUUUAUUAUUUUAUCGAAGUUUAGUUAAAAUUAUGAUCAUGAUAUUGUGAGGACUAUCUUGCUUUUCCUUGGGCAAAAUAAAACUAAAAAAAAAAUCCAUCAGUUCCCUUAAUCACCAUAUUUCCUAUUUACGGCUCCUUAGUUUUACAAUUUUGAGCACUACAUCUUGGGAGAAGUUGUACUUUCCGAAAUUGUUACAAGUGUAAUAUUUCAUCGAUAAUUACAAAAUUUAACAUUCCCUAGCAUGCAACGGCACUGAUAUUAUUCUAAUUAUUUCUUGGUUUUUCAUGAUUAAAUAUUGAAAAACUUGUUUCACGCUUAACACAUUUGAUGAAUACUGAUGGACUGAUUUUAUGGCAGUUGAUUUAUGCAGGAUAUACCUGUAAGCAAGGAUGGUUCUUUACACCAUGCAUCAGUGAUCCAAGUUUAAGGUGUAGUAUUUGUCCUCUCACAAGCAUACAAUAGUUCACCUCUUGAUCCAUUUCCUUUGGUAAUACAACUGCGAAUUUUUCACAGUCAAAACUAUUUUUAUCACCUACAAAAAGGAGAAUUAACACACCCAUUAAUAUUAGGGAUCAAAAGGAUUUUCCCGAAUCGAAGGAUUUUUCAGUUGGGUAGGUUUGACGAAGGAAUUUUGAUUGGAUAAAUUCGGUUUUCCCGCAACUUCAAGUCUUAACACAAUUAAAUUUUGCAUCAUUUUCAAGCAAUUUUGUCAAAUUUAUUUAGCAACUUCUUUAAAGCUCAUGAUAUAAUGGCUAUCGUGAUCUUUGUAGAUGCAGUUCUUUUAAUACUUUCUUCGUCUUGUAAUGAAACUCUGUGCGAUCUUUUACACAUGUUAGAAUGUUCAUUUAUUAAUAUCUCUUAUUUCUUCAGCAAAAAUGAUCUUGUGAUCAUGUGAGAAUACAAAGGCAGCUAACCAACCAUUGCAACCAAAUAUUUAGUUUCCGAGUAUUAUUUCUAAUUUUCUACAACUCCUUGAAGAGUACUUUGAUAAAACUUAAAAGCAAAGAGGAAUAUUGCUUUUCAGCGCGAGAUCGCCUUUCUAUUUUUCAGUCACUAUUCUCUUUUUCCAGUUUACCUUUGUAUGCUAGUUUUAUGAAGUUGAAACAUAAACUUGAGGCUAGUGCUCCAUGAAAUAGUAUGUGAUUUGCUUCAAAAAUGCGUUAUGCAGAGGACUGAAGAACAUUCUUCAGCUAUCGAUUAAGAAGAUUGAUAGCUCAGAUUGGGAGCAGAUUCCCGUACCUUCAAGGCAAGUUUGUCAUCCUUGACCUGAAUUUCUUUUUUUUUUUUAUACGAUUUUCUCUACUUUAGAUCCCAGUUUUGAGUUCAAUUCGAUUUACCAACGUAUUUGUAUUUUCCAACUCAUGUGAAUAACUUUUUCUCGUGCAGUGUUAGGGCUAUAGUUGCUUUGAAUCUUCACAACUAUGGGAGUGGAAGGAAUCCAUGGGGCAAUUUGAAACCUGAUUAUUUAGAAAAGGUUUGUAGAACUAAUUUGUGCAAAACCCUUUGGUUCAGACGAUUAUACUUUAGCUAUUUUGUUACUUUAUCAAAGUGCUUCACGAGAAAUUUCAUCCACACAGCUCAUUAAAAGAUUAAACUGCGUUGCUUGUAAUUCUCUUUUGCUCAUUUUUCAUAUGUUUGUGACCGUGUGUGUGGCUGCGUCCAUGGGAACAUUUUGGGCACAAAGCUUUCGCUAUCCUAAGCCUAAACUGUUGACUGAAGCUUAUUUCAGCAUGCUUUUCUCACUUCUUUCUUGUUCUGCAAAUUCACUUGCUGAAUUUCAUCGACUGUAAAUUCAUGCCUGUAAGAUUUCAUUUUGGGAAAUUCAUAUCAAGUCAAUAAAGCCCCAUUGGAACAAUACUUGUAAUUGAUAAUGACGAUUAAAAUCCGAUUUUUAACUCGAAGUUUUGAUCCUCUUUUUUGGGGUUGAGUUUUGCUAGAGAGGAUUUGUCGAGGCCCAAGUUGAUGAUGGCCUGCUUGAAAUCUUCGGAUUAAAGCAAGGGUGGCAUGCUUCACUUGUGAUGGUAGAGCUCAUAUCGGCUAAACACAUUGCCCAGGUACCUAAACACAUCGCGGCAAACUAUUGUGUUGAUCUUCUUUUUUGUGCACCAUUUAUUUGUACCUUUUGUCCCAUGGAUACUGAUACAGGUUUCGCCAAAUACAUAAAUUGAUCUGUGGUACAUUUUCAGGCUGCAGCAAUUAGAUUGGAAAUCAGAGGGGGCCAAUGGAGAGAUGCGUACAUGCAAAUGGAUGGCGAGCCAUGGAAACAGACGAUGAGCAGGGACUAUUCUAUCUUCGUCGAUAUAAAGAGGGCGCCGUUUCAGUCGCUAAUCAUUAGUGGAGAGUGAACAUGUGCACGGUUCACUCAAAUUGGAUAAGGUACACAUGUGAGAACUACAUUUAAAACAAAUUCUUUAGCUCCAUUCUUGAUCCACAAAUAAUCUUUUACAGUAAAGUCUGAGUUUGUCAUACGAAGCUCUCUUUGUACUUUCCAGGGUAGUUCUUUUCACUCCGGAGAAAGCAGAAAUGAUCGCUUCGUAGUAAUUCCUGGUUAUUCUGAUUAUUUACGGAUAUCUAAUAACACAAUUCGUGUAGCCAAAGAGGAUUAAUUGUUCGUUUCACCGACCGAUUCCUACUCAUCAGCUGGUCUCAAUUGAAAUGCUGUAGCACACGGAUCGUAACAAGAUAACAUCGUCGAAUACUUCAUAUCUUAACUGCAUUUGGCUGUUGGGAUGACAGCGAAGAGUUUGGAGACUUUCGAAAGUCGGCGUCGUGAUGUAAUUGUAAAUUGGAAGUCGAAGAUUUGUUUACUAAUUCGUCUGUAAAAAUUUUUAUGUGUAAUCAUUUACCUUCUCUCAUGGUUGGAAAUUAUGAUUUGGUGUAUAUGAUUAUAUGAUUAUUUGUUGUAUAGAAGUGAGGUAUGACUCUUUAACUUUUGAAUGUAACUACAAGAAGAGGCAAACAAGGAGGAUAUUUAACAGGACAACCCAUUUGCCUUUGUAUGGAUUCUGAAAACAUGUCUCCGAAAAUUCGACCUUGGUGAAGAUAACAAGAUCAAUGUAUAUAAAUUUUUCUUGUGUUUUGGUGAUUGUUCUCUCUUUCUAGUGUAUUAUGUGAAAUUCUCAUCAUAGCGAUUAUAUAUGUAAUAGUGUUUUAGACUCUUACGUCUUUGCGCUAAGAAGAUUAGUAUCGAUGAAUAUGUCACGACUCUUGUGUUAUGGCACAAGCCGAAAAACCAAGGAAAAGUGAGAAAUAGGGAAGGAAAUAAAGCACGCAGAUAAUUUAUAUGAUUCAGCCACUAGUUUAUACCCUACAGACAGAAGACAAUGCGAGAUCUUUACUAUAACAAAAACAGGGUAUAAAAACAGCUCUUUUAGCCCUAGCCCUAAAUACGCUUAGGAACUUCAACAAUCUUAAGCAAUUUCUCCAGCAAAUGAUGCAUGAGAUGAUCACAGCAUCUCAAUUCACACUAAAUGAGACAACCCUUUUCUCUACACCAAGUAGAAGCAACAUGAUGUGGGAAGCUAAAGUUAUUCCCACAAACACUACAUACAAAUAGAAUCUAUAGUGGAAUUGCUACAUGAUAAAGUGCUUUUUUUUUUUGACCUGGAUAUGCAUCUGGAUAACAGAUUGCCUUGCCCAGGAUAUGCAUCUUAUACCAGAAUCUUAAUUUCUAUGCUUGCUCUUAUCCAGAAACUAGGGCAUAGCAGAAUAUAUGAAAUGAAUAGAGUGUAAACUUUAUAAAGGUUCCUUUUUUUUUGAAAAAAAAACAUUAAAAUAUGUGGAAUUUGUCAUGUCAUAUGAUUAAUGAUUACCAACCAAACCACCAAUUAGGAAAAGUAAAUCUUCUUUUUGAAAGAGACACCCACUCAGCCUAUUGUUUGUUGUUUUAACCCUCCCUGUUUGAAUAUGAUUGGAGAUUCCAACAAAAUCUCACUUCAAAGACUAAAAAAAAAAAAAAUCCAAAAAUGCAAAAUCUCUUUAUGCAAAUCUCCUCUCUUUAUGUACAGAAAUCAUAUGCAAUUAAAAGGGGGAAAAAAGUGAAAAUUAAAAUUCUUUAUCUUUUUUUAAGCUCAGACACUAAAUUUUUUUUUAAAAAAGAACAUUCAAGUUUGCCUUUAUUGGAGUUAUUUUUGUAACAUUUUAUAUGAAUUGAAUUCAAAGUUCAAAUUUAAAAAGAGGGGAAAAAAACAAAGAAAAUAAAAAAGUUGCUUUUCGCCGCAAUUACGGCUGAAGAGACAAUUUUUCUUUGUAUGAUUGUUGCUUUUUCCUUAAAGUUAGACCCCUAUAAAGCCCUAAAUUGACUCAUAAUUGAUCAAAACAAAACACCCAUCCAACCAAAACAAUCUCAUUCUAUGCAUGCCUACUUUGUGUAGAAAGCAAAACCCUAGCUAGAUGGCUAGGUCAAAUUGGUCCAACUUGUUGAAAAUGGCAUUUUUUCACAUAAAUCCCCACAAUCUAAAAACAAUCUAAAAAAUUGGCAUAUGACUGAAUCAUGCCGAAUACUUUCCUGCUUUGAUAUCAUACGGUACAACCAAUCACUCUAAAACCUCGGGCUCCAUUCGGGAGCGAGAUUUAAGAGUGUCGCUAUAUUUACCCCCUGCUUCAAAAACUAGUGUAAUCGUUUGGUAAUAUAAGCGUCUAGUGGUCUGCCAAAUAAAAAAUGACGCUUGUACAGAGUUUCUCACUUUCGCACUUCGCAGAUGAGUUUAUUAAGCUGCGCGUUCUAUGUCGCAACACCGUGAAGUUGCUACCAAACCAGACCUUAAGCUUAUGAGGAAAAAAGAUAGUAUGAUUUUAUAUUCGGCCAUUAAACUAACUAGCAUAAUAACCUGCGCGAUGCGAUAGAUAGAUAAUUAAAAAAAAAAAAAACGUCAACAAAAAAAAGAAAACGGCGAUGAAAAAAAAACGAUGAUAAGGAAUGAUAUUCAUUUUACUAAUGAAUGAAGAUAACAACUGAGGGAAGAAGAAAAAGAGGAGGGACUUGAGCUGCUUCAGGGUAGAGACCACACUUAACAAUAAAGAAAAAGUUGUCAUAUGACAAUUUUAGGAAAAACAAUGUACAGGUAUAGAUGUUUACCUAUCCGACCUUGCUAACUUGGUUUGUAGAAAUCAAAACCCUAGGUCAAAUUGGUCAAACUUUUUGAAAAUGACAUUUUUGCACAUAAAUCCUUAUAGGGGUUGAAAACUUGGUAUAUUAUUGAGAGCACCAAGCUUGGACCACAUAAUAAUGAGGACAUGCAUGCAGUGUGGGUAGUGAAAGUGAUUUUGCCUAACACUGUUGAAUCAUCAUACUUUUUAAUGGGGCCAGCAUAAUUAGGAAACAAACAAUCUCUAGGAAUGAAACUUACCUAUCCUUUCUUAAUUUUUAAAAUAAUAAUAAUAAAUUUUUAGUAAAGCGCUAGAUCUAGCAGUUUGAUGCUUUUACUGUCGUGAGAAAUCGGCAAUGAGAUUUCAAUAUUUUCAAAAAGAAUAUCUUUAUAUGGGUACUUUUACUUUUGCUGCCGAGAAAAUUAAAUCCAUUGAAAGAAUAUUUUAGCACAAUACUUUUUUUUUAAUAGCGCUACUCAAACAACACUCUAUUUGAUUAUAAAAUUCGCUUAAAUAAGCCAAGAAGAACAAGCCCUCAGCUUAAUUAUUGUAAAUCUCGAGCAUAAAUGUGUGAGAAAGUGUUAAGUAUGUUAUAUUAAAUCCAUUGAAAGAAUAUUUUAGCACAAUACUUUUUUUUUUUUAAUAGGGCUACUGAGACAACACUCCAUUUGAUUAUAAAAUUCGCUUAAAUAAACCAAGAUGAACAAGCACUCAGCAUAAUAGUAAAUCUCGAGUAUAAAUGUAUGAGAAAGUGUUAAGUAUGUUGUAUUAAUUGAAACACUAUUAUUUUAUGACUCCGAGUUUUUAAAAUAAUAGAUUGUUUUAUAGUUUAUAAAACUUAGUUCGAAUUUUAACAGGCUUAGUAACAAACUAUUAUAUUUACUUACAAAUAAACAGGAAUUAACAUAGUAAAAUAAAAUGAGCUUAAAUAAAAUAAUAUUAACACCACCUCCAAGGGAUUAUGUGUGAAUAUGAUUUUAUAAAUCUAAAACAACCUAUAAUUAACCAUCAUUAUUGCUCAUUAACCAAUCACACUUUUAAUCCAACUUAUAAUUUCUCUCUCUUAACUGUGGAUAAGUGUGGGAAAAAGUAAAAGUGCUUGGACAAAUAUUCAUUCCAGUGACGUGUUCCCCAUCCUAGUUAGAAAAAAGGCCAAAAAAAAAAAGAAAAAAAAAGUAGGCUUUAAAGAAGAGUACUAUACUUUAUGGAUAGUCCCCACACUAUCCAGAUAUUGCGAAUUGGGUCUUAUACUUUUUGGCUUAAAUAAUUCGGUUUUUGAAAUUUCACGCAACUAUAUCUUUUUAAAAUAUCAAUUUAUUACUUCUUUUAAAUAUUUAAUUUAGACUCUAUUUGGAAUUACGGGACAGUUCAUUAUAUACAAUCAUUUUUUCUCGUAAAAUAUAAGACAUCGUCCAAAUUAUAUUGAAAAGAUUAUUUUAUAACAAAAAAUUAAAGGAUAAAUUGGUUUAAUUGCAUACAGUUCUCUGUAAAUAUAUAUAAUAGUAAAUAUAUCUCUACAAAGUUUAACUUUUCAUAUUUAUCACUGUAAAAGUUUAAUGAUAUUCAUAUUUGUUUAUCUAGUUUAUUAUUGUUAAGGCACUUUUAUUUUUUAACAGAAAAUAAAUAAAAUGAUAUUUUUACCAUUAGAAAUAUGUCCCUCCAAUAGUCCCAAUUGUUAGAAUUAUUCAGAAAUAUCCUCUCAAAAAUCUCCAACGGUCAUCUUCUUCUAUUCUAUCAUCACAAAUAAUAUAAGAGAAGUAAAAAUGUCAAUUUACAUACCUCAUUCACUAAUCAGGAUAAAUAUUUUACCUACAUAUGAUUAGUUAUAUUUUUCUAACAAAUACUAACAACAUGGGUAUAUUUAAAAAUAUUAGAAUUUUUGCAAGAAUAUAUAUAUAUAUAUAUAUAUAUAUAUAUAUAUAUAUAUAUAAAGUUAAACUUUGUAAGAAAUAUUUACUAUUUGAUUUGUUUACAGAGAGUCGCAUGCAAUUAACCCAAAACUAAAAUUACUCCAAUAUAUAACAUACGUUAAAAAUUCAAAACUAUAUUUACGUAAAGAACAUAAGGGGCUAAAUUAUAAUAUCGAAGCAGUGUAGGGACUGAAUUGUUUAAGUGAAAAGCAAAAAAAAAAAAAAAAAAAAAAAAAAAAAAGAAAAAAGUAUGGUUGAAGUACCAUGCACCAUGCGCUGGUUCCGUUGCAAUGCCUUUGUACGUAAGCGAUUCCGAGUUGUCCUUAUCCUGUACGGUGGGCAUCUGACGUGGACGGGGCCCCACCAAAAAAAAAGGACAACACAUUCGCGGGGGCCCAUGCAUGGUCAGGUGGGAGACCCGGGUGCGGGCCCACACACCACAGAGCAAUGAUCAAAACCUUAUAUAUAUAUAUAUAUAGAACUAGGCUACUAUGCUAUUAAUAGCACCAAGUCACUGGUGCUACCAAGUUUUCGGCUAUUGGAUUAAGAGAUGUGCGGUUAGGAUGAUGUGGGCCCCCUAGGGUUGAGUGGGUGGUUGGUUGAAUAGUAUGAUCUAAUGGGUGAAAAUGAUCACAAGGGUAGAUCUAACGGCGGAAAACUUGGUAGCACCAAGUGCUUUGUGCUAUUAAUAGCACAGUAGCCGGACUCUAUAUAUAUAUAUAUAUAGGGGGCUCACUGUAAAUCAUUUUGAAUUUAACUAUUUAAAUUUUUAAAAAUUUAAAAUUUAUAUUUUAAUUUUUUAUUAAUUUGUUUGAUAUGGGCCUAGGUCAUCGUUACUUUAUCCGAAUUGUAACAAAUCUGAAUUGACUAUUUAAAAUUUUUAAAUUUUAGUUUACUAUUUAAUUUUUUUAAUUUGUUUGAUAUGCACCGGUUAAUGAUAUUUUAACUUUCAAAUUUAAUAUAUUUACUUAUUUAAAAAAUAAGUUUAUAGUUACGAGAAUUAUAUAAAAUGUAUUAACUAAAUAUGUAAAUGAUUUCUUUUUUUUGACUCAAAUCAAAUAAAUUAAAAGGUUGGAUACUAAAAUUAAAAUUCUGAUCAAAAUGAUCUAUAAUUUAAAUAAAUUUUGUAUGUUUUUACUUUAUUUUUAGUAUGAGAAUAACUAAAAUAUUUUUUAAAGUACAUGUAGAUACUUUUGCUUUUUUUUUUCUGAUGAAAAGAUAUUUAAUUUGACGAUCCGCAUCGUGAAACAUGACUUACACUAGUUGAACUUCGUAAAGCUGUCGAAUUUUGUAGAUUUUUUAAAUUAUUUGUUUAGUAGCCAUUAAAAAUAGUUAAUUUUAAGGCCAGUUAGAUAAUAGCCAAAUGAUGACAAAAGUUGUAGAAUUUAAUUCUGCUUAUCUUCACAUGUAAUACAGAGUUACGUAUAUCCAAUGAGUCGCUCAGAAAAAAACAUUCAUACAUUCUUUCGCUCUAACUUUAUUUUAUUUAUUAGUGUUUGAUGGAUUCCGAUACUAAAUAGACUCUGAAUCAAAUUUAACGGUGCCGACCGCCAAUUCGAUUUCAUAAAAAAUGGUGCAAAAAUAAAUGCCUCUGUUUAGAAGUAUCCUAACUUUGCUCAUUUAUUAUUAACUAGACAUGGUCACUGGCCUAGACUUAAAUAAAUAAAAAAAAAAAAAAAAAAAAAAAAACCCCCAUCCCUCUGGUUUUACAUUUUUUCACUUUAAUGACCUGCGGUUUAAACUUUAUCAAUUUAGUGCCAUAUGGUUUCAUUUUUAUCUUUUUUAUUACGAAUUUCACUAGUUUUUUCGUUAAAUCAAUGACAAAGUUAAAACUAAAAGGUACUAAAGUGAAUAUUCGAUAAACCUAGGUGGGGGAUCUGAAGUUUUUUUUAUAUAAUUUAAUGAAAUGUUAACGGAAAGCUGACAAAAAAAUAAAAAUAAAACCAUAUGACACUAACUUGAUACAUUUUAAACCACAAGGAUUCUAAAGUAAGAACAUGCACAACCACAGGACUGAUAUUUGAAGUUUACCCAAAAAAAAAUGGAGGUUGAGAGGGUGAAAAAAAAAAAAAAAAACCAAGAAAAAGGGAAGGAUAAAAUGGAUGGUUAGUGCCUUUAUUACCUCUUAUUAAUUUCAGUACCUGAAAUUUUCUGAGCUCACGCAUUUAUAUAUUAUCCAUAUGUAUAAAUUUGAAUGUUCCCGAACCAGACACCUACUAGGGUAGUACAAUGACUCCUACGGCUAGUCCUAAUGUGAGCUAGUUUGCUUACGGAAUUACUUAAUCCGACGAAUGAGGUGUGCAUCGAGAGUGUUCGAAAAUCUUACUUGAAUCAAUGGAACUACGGCAUAAGUCCAAAAGCCAACGAUUUUGAUUGAGACCAUUUUCCUUUAACUUAGAACAACGAAAUUAAUCAUGUACCAUCUCCUGCCGCCAAAUAUUUCAAUCACUAGAUAAAUAAAUCAAGUCUAACGAAACUGAUUAUCCAUGAAAGUCUCAGUAUCGAAAAUGACUUGAAUAGUUCGGAGGCUACCGUACUUCUAAAAACAUACAAACUGAACUCUCUCUCUCUCUCUAUAUAUAUAUAUAUUAUUGUUGGACUUGAACCUUGACUCAAUCGACUCACAGUAGGUUUUCUAACUUUGAAUAUCAAAUCAAAGGCACGAAAGUCAAACUUGCUCAGACCGAUUGAGUUCGGUGCAGGAGAGUUAUGUGCAUCCAAACAUUCUCUUAGUUUUUAAAUUUUCUCGUAUAUUAUACUUUCGCAACUAACUUUUACAAUUUAUGAUCGUUUUCAAUCAAAUGGUACCACUUUUUCUCUGAAAUUGUCUUUUCAGAGUAGUACAAAAUUUUAUCGAAUUAGUGAAUGGUCCCAUUAAGUUUUUUGGCUCUAUGUACAUUUAAUUGCAGAUAGUGUAAAUUUCGUCUGUAAUUAUCAAUCAAUAUUAAUUAAAAAUAUCAAAUUUUACAAAGAAUCCCUACUCUAAUUCACUUAAGUAAUUUAAAUAGAAAUUUAAAAAAAUUAAGGUACAUAGUAUAUAUAUUAUAUAUAUAAAGAAGAAAAAACUGUCUCGACACAUUAUUAUCAGAUUAUAUAUGGAAAAAUGUAUUAUCCACAACAUUAUGACACAAAAAAUAUAUUUUGAACUAAUUAUAUUGUACUAUAUGAGAUGGCGAGGAAUUUAGUUAAAAGCGAUAUGAUAAUUUUGUAUCUAAAUAUUGCUUUGGAAAAUUGAUAGGUAAAUGCAAUACGAAAUGCAUGCGUGGUUAAAAUUGAUGAUGUGAUCUUCAUAUUGAGACCCAGAAGAGUACAAAGUGAUAUUUUUGGGCCCAAAAUAUGUUUUCAACGUAUAAUUGAAAACACAAUCAUAUAAGAAUUGAUCUUAGCGCACGCAUGAAUCAACCACACCAUGAUCUCAUGUUGAACUGUUCUUGCUCCCAACUACUUAAUUAACCAACCCAAUUUUGUGACAAACCCACACAACCACCCAAAAAUGUACAAGAGUUAUGUACGUAGCAUGUGAAUAUCAAACCACCAUACAAGUGGAAACAUGUGAACUCCAACAAACAAAUGGCCAAGUGUUGCACCAUAUAUACAUGUAGGAAACCACAAAAAGCAAUUGCACCAAAACCAUGGGCUUGUGGUUGCUUAAACAAUUGGAUAUAUCUCACUCUUUUGAUGCCACCAACAAAGAAAAGGAUCCCUAGGUAAUAUAUAUAGCUAGUAGUGGCCAAUGGCAUGAUAAUUAAAUUUGAUAAAGUUAGCUAGGUUAAAUAAAUUUAUUGUAUAAUGGAGAGCAAAUUAAGAUAUAUAGGGGGUGGCUUAUUUCGUACACCUUUAUAUCAUGUCACACAAAGCUACCACCAUAUAUAUGGAUAGAGUUCAGUUAUGAUACUUGUAAAAGCACCAAGCAUUUGGUGCUUGUAAAUUUUUUACCGUUAGAUCUACGUUUUUUAUCAUUUUCACACGUUAGAUCAUACUAUUCAACAAACCACCCACUCAGCCCUAGAGUUCCCACAUCAUCCUAUCCGCACAUCCCUUAAUCCAAGGGUGGAAAACUUAGAAGUACCAAUGACUUGAUACUUUUAAAAGUAUAGGAGCUCAAUUAUAUAUAUAUAUAUAUAUAUAUAUAUAUAUAUAUAUAUAUAUGCANCUCUCUCUCUCUCUCUCUCUCUCUCUCUCUCUCUCUCUCUUGUAAGGAUCAUAUGUCGGAUGUUAGAUCAUACUAAUAUUAAAUCAUAUCUUCUGUCGUGAUUUUUUAUUUCUAUAGACAGAUUUCAAAUGACGGUUUUGUAGUUUUUGCUUAUAAUUCCUCAUCGAUCGUUCAAGAUCUGCAAAGGAACGGAAUGUUUCCAAUUUAUUCCCUUUUUUCGAGAAGGAGAUGUUAUAGAAAAAUUAGGGGUAGCUAGAGUUAGUCGAUGUGGACUCCCGUUACAAGUAUAUAUAUAUAUAUAUAAAUUCUAAUGUAAGGAUGUCCAAUUAUGUUUGUCCAUUAAAAACGUGUCCAGAGAUACAUUGUAACCGUUGGAUCGAGUUUGUCAUUAGAUAUCGUUUUGAAUAAAUUACGUGGGUCAUAUAUAACAUAGAAGAGCUAAUAUACAGGCAAAGGGUUGUGUUGUAGAUAAGCUCGCGCCUAACAAUACCAAUUAAUGACUUAAUCUUAUCCAUAAUUAAUGAAAAGUUUAUGCGCUACAAGUGUAUAUAUAUACAUUACCUCCCAAUUAACAAAGUGUGAAGCUUAAAGGUGAACAAGAGCAAAUUGGUAUUACAUGCUUGAUCUAAUUCAUGUUAUGAAAAUAGUAUAUAUAGUACCAUAUUUGAUUUGCGAAAGAAAUAAUCCUGACAUGCAUAUAAUGCGAAAGAUAUUGAUAUGCUUCCCCCAAUCAACUUAAGUUUUGAAUUGAUUUGAGCCUUUAACAAAAAAUUUAUGUUAUAAAAAAGAUAAUAUUGUAGUAAACAUAUUCUAAUAGUUUGUAUACAUAUUGUAGUAUAAUAUUGUAAUGUAGUAUACAUAUUCUACUAGUUAAUUUGUAUGCGAAACUCAAGCUGAAAGGAAGCUCUUAUUUAAUGCUCAAGGAAUAAUUAAUAGACCUACCACACAAGAAACUCAGAUUCCUUCUUUAUUUAUCAAUGCUUAUCACAUCUAAAAAGGAAGCACAAACAUGGAACAUAGUAAUAAUUAACAUUAACCCAAAAUAAUAAUAAUUAAAUUUAAACUUUAAGCACCAAGGUUUCUAAAAAUUGCAAUCUAGCUAGAAACAAUUAAUGUCUUUGUCUAUUUUGAAGCUAAUUUUCAGUUGUAUGUUGGUCCCACCUAUAUAUCUGAGAAACAUAUACACCCUGACCGUCCCUAGAGCAAGUGGCAAAGGGCUUGGUGAUUGAUACCCGAGACCCAAGUUCGAAUCCUAGUUGAUUCACAUUUUCAGUUAAGUUUAUUUCUAAAUGAAAUAAAUGAAGCGGGUAGCGUGCUACCUAUCUCUAAAAAAAAAAAGAAAAAACAUAUACACCCUGACCAACUUUGUAGUAUAUUCUACAUUAAAUUCUUUGACACGAUUAUUUUGUUUGAAAUAACCAGUGGUCUUAAGAUCCAUAAUUAAUCUCUUUUAUUGAUAACCAAGCCAUACAUAUAUCCUAAAAUUGAGUAUUGCAUAUAAUUUUUCUUAUUUAUCGUAUCGAUGUACUGACAUACUGAUGCACCACGCAUGCAUUAGAUAUUUCGAAAAAAUAAUACAGAAUAUAUUAUUAGGGAACAUUAUAAUUUUUUUUUUCUUUUUUUUCUUAAACACAUUGGUAUCUCUAGGUGAUUGAAAUGUGAAAGCUAACCAAUCGAAAAAAGAAAAAAAGAAAAAUGAAAAAUGAAAAUAAGACACACAACUUAAAAAGAAAAACAAAAAAAACCUUCAAAUCCCAAAAUUACCCUCCAAAUUUUGCCAUUAUAAAAAGCCACUCCCUCGCCCCUCCUCUUUCCCCAUUCCCCCACCCUCUCUCUCUCUCUCUCUCUCUCUCUCUCUCUCUCUCUCCACUUUUCUAAACCCUAAACCACUUUUCACAGGGAGGAGAGCUAGAGCAUGAGACCGGGGAUCGGGGGCGUCCCACCGCCGCCGCACCCGCUGCCACCUUCUCCGGCGGCGGCGGCGGAGGCCCACUCGCCGUGGCGAUCGCCGGUGCCGUACCUCUUCGGGGGGCUCGCGGCGAUGCUCAGCCUCAUCGCCUUCGCCCUCCUCAUCCUCGCCUGCUCCUACUGGAAACUCUCCGCCCACCUCGACCCCGACUCCGACGACCCCCGCCGCGGCGGCGGCGGCGCCGCCUCCUCCUCCUCCGGCGGGAAGGGCUCCGGCGGCGGCCCCACCGAGCCCCCGCCGGCGUUCGAGGAGCGCAUCGCCGUGAUCAUGGCCGGGAACCAGAACCCAACGCACCUCGCCACCCCCACCUUCAGGGGAGCGGUAACCGCACCGCCCCGUGACGGGACUCGCGAGGGAGAAGCAAAUGAGUAGUGAAGAGUUUUUAUCUUUUAUAUAUAUUUUUUUUAAAAAAAAUUAUUUUAACUUUUUUGGGGGGGGUUUAGGGUUUGGAUGGUGGAGAUGUUGUUAUUGUUUUGGACCGAAAUGUAAAUUUGUGAAAUUUUUGGGAUGAGGAAGGAGAGCGACAAGGCUUUGUUAAUUUAUUUCAUCAUAAUGCAGGGUGUGAAUUGAAAUUUUUUCCUCUUCUAUUUAAGCAUCUAAAAGGUGGUUGUGUAUGAUCAUAUAUGAGUCACACAAGUAACGUUUUCCCUUUAUAUAUGUAUAUAUAUAUACACAUAUAUAUAUAUAUAUAUAUUUAUAUAUAUAUAUAUAUAUAUAUAUAUAUAUAUAUAUAUAUAUAUAUAUAUGAGCGCGUCUGGGGUGCUUUUGGAAGCACGGAGCACUCCGUGCUUCCAAAUUAUUUUCGAUGUUGGAACUUUCGAAUCGACGAUCGGCUCCGUUAGACUUGAUCUAGAGUAUUUAAAGUAUUUAAAAAAUAAAUUUCGCGAUUUUUCGAUAUCAUUUGCCUAGUGAUCGAAGAGGCUCAAAAUCAACGACUGAAAAUAAAAAUCUUACAAAAUAGGAUGAUAUGAAAUUAAAAUUUUAGAUCAAAAUUAUUGAUCUUGUUUUAUAUGGUAUAAAGAAUUUUCUAUGAAAAUUUCAUAUGAUUUGGAUAUUUCUACAUUGUUAAACUUGCAAACGGCUCACCACGGCCAUUAAAAUUAUUGAAUUUGAGUCCCUUCAAUCACUAGGCAAAUAAUUUUAAAAAAUCACAAAAUUUAUUUUCUAGGUACUUCAAAUACUCUAGAUCAACUCUAACGGAGCCGACCGUCGAUUCGAAAAUACGAAUAUCGAAAACAACUUGGAAGCACGGAGGACUCGUGCUUCCAGAAGCAUACCAGCCCACUCAUAUAUAUAUAUAUAUAUAUAUAUAUAUAUAUAUAUAUAUAUAUAUAUAAUAUAUAUAUAUAUAUAUAUAUAUAAAAAUAGUUUAUUGCAGGAAAAAAAAAUUAAGCUUCAAUUUUAGAAUAAUUCGAAAAACUUAAUUCAAGCCACGUCUUAAAUCUAUAAUAUAAGAAAAAAGGAGCACAAAUAUAAAGAGAAGCAUGGAACAUAGAUAUUAACUAAGAUAUAAAUGUUGGUACGUACUCUGGAAGUUCAAAUUCGAAAUCUAAUUAAUACGAAUUAGAUAUAUAGAAAUUGAUUACUUUUGUUCCAAAUUGUCAAUUAUGGGUUAUUUGGUUAAAUUUUAAUAGUUUGGACUGCAUGAAGCAUCAAAUACACAUAAUCCUGCUAAGUAUAUUUAUUAUAAGUAUUAAAUCUUGUUCAGCAAAGUAAAUAAUAUAUAUAUAUAUAUAUAUAUAUAUAUAUAUAUAUAUAUAUAUAUAUAUAUAUAUAGUAUGAUAGUUGUGUAAAUAACUUUCUGUUACAAUUACUAAUAAGAUUUUGUAGUGGGCAAAAAAAAAAAAAAAAGAGAAAAGAUAAUUUAUGAAGAAUUUUUAAGUAAAGAGAGGUUUGUAACUUUGCAUAUUGAAGUGGACUUCACUUUAAAUAGACAAUUUUGCAGGGGUGAUUAUGUCUUUUUCUUCCCCAGCACCUGAAUCGAAUCAGAUAAAAUACACACUGAAGCUGUGCAUAUAAAAACAAGGUGUUAGAAUAUAUGUCUCUUCCUCUUCUUCUUUUUGUUUUUUAAGGGUAAAUUUUAUGAAUAGUUAUUUAAUUAUUUCACUAAAACAUUAGAAUUUCGAAGUGUAUAUACCAGACAUUUUUAGAAGCAUGCAUGUUUUCGUACUCUUAAAUUAUUUUCGAUAAUCAGACUUUCAAAUUAAUGACUAGCUCCAUUAAAUAUUUAAAAUAUUUAAAGAAUAAAUUUUAUUAUUUUCGAUAUCAUUCUCUCAGUGAUCUAAAUAACUCGACGACUGAAGAUAAAAAUCUCACAAAAGAAUAAAAAUAAUAUAGACACCCCCUCAAUUGUGGUCAUUUUAAAUUAGUCCUUCAAACAGCUCCUAUUUAACGCAUUUCUUUAAUUAAAAAAAUAAAUUGCUAAAUUUGAUAAUUCAUCAUUAAGUUUGAGAAUAUUUUUAUUUCAAUUGACUGAAAUAAUUUAAAUAAAAAGAAAAUAAAAUCUAAGGAGUGUCAUUAAGUGAGAUUUUUUUUUAAAAUAAAAAAUAAAAGCUGAGAGACCUAUUUCAUAAAUACGUAUAUUUCUAACUUAAAUAAUUAUGAAUUUGAUUAAAAAUAAUUCUUCAAAAUUUUUAACAUAAAGUAAAAUUUGUGAUUCUAAAACAACAGUAUAAAUAAUAAUAUUAUGAAAAAAAAAUUAUUUAUUUAUUUAUUUUUUGUAGUAUUAAACUAAAGUGCAUGAUAUAGUUUUUUUUAAAAAAAAUUAAUAAUUUGCUAAAAUAAUUAGUCCAAACCAUGUAAGUACAAUACAGUAUGUGCACAUUAUCCAGGCUUUUAAAUUUUUUUUAAAAAAAAAUUUCAAAGCGGUAAGUAGUAAGUGGUAACUCAAACCCGCAUAGUAAACUACACGCCACGUGGCAACGAUCCAUUGGCCCGACGGUGGUGGGUGUGCGCGUUGGCUUGUAGCCGCGGUUUUGCGAUGGAAUGUAUGCGGCGACCCGACACCGCGAAAGCUUCACGGCGUAAUAAUGGCGGAAUAUUCGAGGGAUCGUACGGGACGGGGCUGUCGUUAGGGAACGGGGGAGAUCGCGCCACGUGGCAAGGCGGUUACUGUUGCGAACAUUUGGCUCUCGGUCGUGAAAAUGUAUGAAGACCCCCUCAGCUAUAGCCAAUUUUGAAGCACUCCCCUCAACUUUUGCCCUUUUUGUUUUUUUUCUGGAAUUUAAAUCCAAAUUUGCAUGCAAUUUGGGUGCCAGUAAUAAUUCCCUCAAAUUAUCUUGUGUGUACAAUAUAGUAUCAGAGCAGAGUAUUCUAAUUAAAUUCGAACCCCGCCAGGUCCCUAUUCUUAUUUAGUUUUCUCUUAUUUAAUUUAUGUCCAUGUCGUAGAUUUAUUAAAAAAAUGUUUCGAUUUCGGACGCCAGUGAGAGUGUUAAACAUAAACGUUAGAAAUACUGUUAUGUUAUGGAGAAACAAUUGUUUUCACAUUAUUUAGCAUCCAAGUAUCACAAGAAAAGUUCUCCAUGGUUGUUACUAGAAUAUAAAGUUAUAAUUAGCUCUACAUCCCAAUGAUUCAUUAAUAUAAUUAGUUUGUCUAAAAUCAUUAGCUAGUAGAGGCCAUACUAUAACUCUUCAUAGCAACUGAUUACUAAGUUUGUACAAGUUAUACUCUAAUAAUCAAUUAAAUAGUAUAUAUAUAUAUAUAUAUAUAUGUUACUAUACUGUCGGUAGUAUCAAGCACUUGGUGUUGUUGAGUUUUCGAUCGUUGGAUGAGAGGAUGUGCGGUUAGAAUGACAGUGGUAUCUGAUUACGAUGAUAAUAAUUUUUUAGGAUUGAGUGGAUGGUUAGUUGAAUAGUAUAAUCUAACGGAUGAAAAUGAUCAAAGAAUAGAUCUAACGAUAAAAAAUUCGAUAGUACUCAGAGCUUAAUACCAUGGAUCGAUAGUAUAGUAGUUGGACUCUCUCUCUCUCUCUCUCUCUAUCUCUAUAAAGGGUUAUGACACAAAUAUAUAAAUCUUCUUUUUUCUUUUUGUUGAAAGCUAUAGAUAUAUAUGUCUUGAAGGGAAAUAUUUUCUGUUAGGGAGGUGUGAAAAUGAAAAAUAGAUUUAGUGGGAGACAACUUAUAUGCAAAAGAAGAUGCCACUAUAUAUAUGAGUGAGGGGGACCCAUUGUAUACUAAUAAGAGGCACAUUUUGGGGAACCCAAAAAAAUAAUGGGGAACACAACAGGGCCACUCAACUACUAACUUUUUUAGGAAUUCACCCAAAAAAAAAAAAAAGAGAACUUUUGUUUUGGACAAGAUUCUCAUCAAGAGUGUUUUUGAAGUAUCUUCAAAAUGGUGUAAUUGAUCAUUUUCUUUGUCAUAUCACUUUGAAAGUAAAAAAAUUUGGAAAAACAAGGUUGCCUUGUUCAUGUAAUUAGUGUUUUCUAUGUGAAAUCUAUACUUUAAUUACUAGAGUAGUUCAUAGGAUAUAGUUUUUUAAAAAUCUUCUUUUUUUUUUUCUUUUUCAAUUUUUUGAAAUAGUACUAAUAAUCAUGGCCCACAAUCAAAUUCAGGAGGGUAGGCAAUCCAAUAUAUUAUUUUACCGGUGUAACUCCAACGGCGUCAUUACAAUCACCAAAGCGAAAAACUACAAACUACUACUACUUACGCUUAGUUCGUUGUCUAAACACUUUUGAAAGAUCUGGAAAACUCGAAAGCGCUAUAUUACUUUCUCCGUGCGGCUUUCCAAAGUAUAGAAGCGGUUGCUUUUGGCAACGCUACGUCGUUGAGUAGUAGAUUCUGAAUUCAAAUGUCGCUAAAUACUAGAAAGAAUGCGUGACUGUGGUUUACCAGCGUGUAUCUUCAAAACAGGCCGAAGUAAGUGUAAUGGAAUAAAGUGCAAAUGGGCCAAGAAAACAGCGCAAAUUUUUUCAAAUUCGGUCCGAUCUUUUUGUGCAGUGAUGAAAAGCUUAUCUUGGUGGUGGUUUGGCCCAACUAUUCCUCAUGAAAGAAGGCUGAAGUGCAGGUUUAGACCAGAUUCCAAACUUAGGUUACCGUAAAUUAUGGAUUAGCUUUGAGCUUCAUCCUAAUGAUAAGGAGGGGAAAAAAAAUCAUUAAUUAUUAUGAUUUCUAGCAUAAGAUUUUUAUAUUAUUGCAAUCAACUCUUACAUUUAGUUCAGUUACCUAGAUGCUGAUAUGUAUCAUUGAUAUGAUUGCGAUCUGCCAUGCAUUUUAAUUAUUAUCGGUCAUAUUAUCAAAUAAGAUAUUAUUACGUGAGUAAUAAAUUAAUAUUUAGUCAAUUAAGUUAGACCGAUGUAGAAAUUGACUGCAAUAAUUUAAAAAGUUUAAACUAGAAAUUAUAAUAAGAUUUGGCCCCAAAAAAAAAGAAAAGAAAUUGAGGUCAAACAGGUUGUAAGGUCUCCACGUGGCAGAGAAAUACACGUUGACCAGAGAAAGCUGCCAGCCUCCCAGCUGGGAAACUCCAUGCGGCGACUCUAGCAACAUAAAAAAUUUUAAAAUGUACCAAUUAUUAUAUUAGUGAUGUAACGUGUUCAACUAAUCAAAUAAUUUUUUUUUAGGUUUAUUCAUCCCAUCAUAAUUAUAAAAGAAAUAUUUUUAUUAUAAUUUUUUUAAAAAAUAAAUAUGAUUAGCUUGUUAUUGAUGAUGUGGUGCAAAUUAAUAUGAUACAGUAAAUUUUCUCUAGUAACACACAUGUUUGGCCACGUGUGCACCAAAUAAUCCUCUCAGUAUUUGUAUAUGGAGUUCCAACAAAAAAUACUCAAUCCGACAUUGCACUUGUAAUUAAGAGCUUAUCAUAAUUUCAAAAUAGAAUGUAUAUCUUAUACUUUUUUUUAAAAAAAAUUUAUUAUUUUUUUAUUUUACUAUAAUUUAUUUGAAAUUUUGUAAAUUCUAAGAUGGGUGUGUAAGAUCGAACUCUUCCCUUUGUGGUCUACAAAUAGAAUUUUUCAUAAUUUAUUAAUUUUUUUUUGCAUUUGGUCUCCAUAAAAGAAAUUUAUUUUUUGAGUAAUUAAAUUAAAAUUAUAAAUACAAAAAUAGUUCUAUAUUUAUACACAUAGACGCACGCAGGGUAGAAGAAAAAUAUUUUAAGUAAACACGAUGAUUCAUUCACCGAAUCUAGAAUAGUGUAUGAAGAGAAAGAGACAUGCAUUUUGUUUUUAAAAUCUAUUAUGUUGCGUAAAAACACAGUAUGUGAUUUACCAUAUAUAUUCACUUAAAAUAUUUGAGUAAUUGAUAUUUAUUUAUAUUCAUAAUGUUGAUAGAAUUAUUUAUAAAAUAUUUCUUUUUGAGAGAGCUAAUUUAAUUAAAGAAGGGCCCGGUAUUACUACUUACGUAUUGUUUAGCCGGCCGAGGGCGGCUUUACGUGACAAAUACUUUUCUCGAUCUCUCCUAAUCACCACUUAAAAUCUCCAUCGCAUUUCGAAUAAAUACAUACAAAAGAGGCAAAUUGGAGAUAGAGACAUACAUUCAUAUAUAUAAGAGAGAAUGGUUAGCAUUUGAUAAGGGUUUGUUGUCGUGUCAACGGAGAUCGAUCAAUCGAUCGAUCGGUUGAUUGAUCGUCGGAGGGCGGCCGCGAUGGGUGCGGUGGCGAGCUCUUGCUGCUGCAACGAGAAGGUGGAUCAAGUGUAAGUUGAUCGGUUAGCAGAAUGAGCUCCGUAUAUAUCUGUGAAAGUUUUCCCUUUUUUUUUUUUUUUUUUCUUUGUUUUGUCGGACGAGCUUUUGCAGAAGUGCAUGUUUAUAGCACGAGCAGGUUUGACACGAAACCGUAGUUUAGUGCGGUUCUGAAUAAGCUUCGAUUUGGGGCGAGCUUUUGACGUCCUGAGCUAAACAUGCCCUAAGAACGUGUUUAGCCUAGCUUUUUUCGUGCUCUCUCACCGCACUUGAUCGCGUAACUGAGUGAGCUUUGUAAAUAUUUGUGAAUGUUUUCUAUUAUAAAUUAGUUUCUGCAGAAGAGCACGUGGAUUAGCACGAGCGGGUUUAACAUGCAAUUGUAGUUUAGUACAGUUUUGAAUACGCUCCGAGCUGGGACAAGCUUUUGAUGACCUGAGUUCAACAUGCCCUAAGAAUGUGUUUAGCCUAGCUUUUCCGGUGCAAUACGGUCGUGCACCAAAUUAUCCACCGAAAAAGUGAGAUACCGUAGCGCGAACUAAGGGAGUUGGUUGACGAGUCACUAAUACUUUUCUCAUUAAUUCAAAUCUCCCACAACAACUCAGACCAUUUAUUUUGGGGCUCAAAAGUUUAUUUUAAUUUGUUUUAGCAGAUGUUAACUAAUGGUGAUGAUAUUGUAGGUGCAUGUGGUUAAUUUAUACAUAUAUAUGUUUUUUUUUAUAAAUUAAAAUAGGUGUGUGAGUGGAGUAGUGAAUAGUACGUGGAGGAUAUUCACUUACAAGGAGCUGUACUCUGCAACCAAUGGAUUUAGCGAGGGGAAUUUGCUCGGAGAGGGAGGAUUUGGAAGCGUUUAUUGGGGAAAAACCUCAGAUGGGCUUCAGGUAUUUUUUAUACAUAAAUAUAUAUUUUUUAAUUAAUUGUUUUGUAGUAUUUUUUUUAGUAUAUUUUAUGUAAGAACUUAUUAUAAAAGUGGCAUUAGUUACUGUAAAAAGAAAAAAAGAAGCUAAAAAAAUUAUGUAAAUUAUAGCUUAUUUUGAAGGCAAAACUUUUGGAGAUAUUGAAGCAGUUGUGAGAGUGAGUAGCGUUCAAAUAUUUCAUAAGUUAACACCUUGAGCAUCGACUACUCCAUGUCCUGAGUUUUUUAAAAAGUAUUCGCCAAAAAAAAUAUUGUUUGUGUUAGCCAAAAAAUCGAUACGAUAGAAAACGGAUCAGAAUUAGUCUUAACACCUUUACUCCUGUAUAUGUUGAAUAUUAGAUGAAUCAUGUCACUUAUACUAACGAGUGAAUGUAACUCAUGACCUCUCAAAAGUGAGGAAGUUUAGAACUCGCUCCGAUAUCAUGUUAUGCAAAAAAUCGAAGCGAGCGCAAGUUGUAAGCAUAAGUGUAUAUAUUUUGUAGAUAGCGGUGAAGAAGCUGAAGGCAGCGAACAACUCGAAGGCAGAGAUGGAGUUCGCGGUGGAGGUGGAGGUGCUGGCGAGGGUGCGGCACAAGAACCUGCUCGGCCUGCGGGGAUACUGCGCCGGUAGCGAGCAGCGGCUCAUCGUCUACGACUACAUGCCCAACCUCAGCCUCCUCUCCCACUUGCACGGCCAGUUCGCCAGCGAGGUUCGGCUCGAUUGGAAGAAGAGGGUGAAUGUCAUGUUGGGCUCCGCAGAAGGGCUGGUGUUAGUGAUCCUGUCGAUGCCUUUUUGACUCCACUUUUGCUUCUGCUUUCAGUUCUUAUCAUUUCUUAUAUAAUAUUUUUCAGCAAAAGAAAUUCGUAGAUUCUGCUAUGAUCGUAAGCUAAAAUGAUAUGAUCAGCGCUCCCCUAAUGUUUGCUGAACUAGCAUAGUACUUUUCCUAAAAGCAGUAUUUACAUAAAAUUUAUUAAGUAACACUGCGUAAGUUUGAUAUUAACAAAAAGAGAAUUCUAAUAGUAAUGUUUACGUGCACGAUUUUCUUAGACAUUGGCUAAAGAAAGGACUCACCAGGUAAUAUUUGAUUUGUUAUGAGCUAAACUUAAAAAAACCUUUAAAAAAUUAUAAUAUUUGAUUGACGUGUUACCUAUCGUAUGUAUAUAUAUAAACGCAGGUAUCUACACCACGAGGUGAGCCCGCAUAUCAUCCACCGGGACAUCAAGGCCAGCAACGUGCUGCUGGACUCCGACUUCGAGCCCCUCGUGGCCGACUUCGGCUUCGCGAAGCUCAUCCCCGACGGCGUCAGCCACAUGACGACCCGCGUCAAGGGCACCCUCGGUUACCUCGCGCCGGAGUACGCCAUGUGGGGGAAGGUCUCCGGCAGCUGCGACGUCUACUCCUUUGGCAUCCUCCUCCUCGAGCUCAUCUCCGGCCGGAAGCCCAUCGAGAAGCUCCCCGGCGGGAUCAAGCGCACCAUCACCGAGUGGGCCGAGCCCAUCAUCGCCUCGGGCCGUCUCGGCGACCUCGUUGACCCCAGGUGAAUAAUAAAAAAAAAUGGGUAGAAACAAUUUCGGUCCAACCCAAGGCCCAUUUUGAUGAUUUAAGCCCAAUAUGUAAUGCAUCAGAAAUUCUUUGUUAUCUGAGCUAUGUCUCGAAUUUAUUCCGAAUGCUGAACUUGUGCCAUUCUAUGCCUAAGGUUACGCGGAGAGUAUGACCCGGUCCAGCUGCGAAGAGUAGUGGAGGCCGCCGCGCUGUGCGUGCAGGGAGAGCCCGAGAGGCGGCCCGACAUGCGGGAGGUGGUGGCGAUACUCAGAGGCGAAGAUACAACGAUGACAGCAGAAGCGGCGGCGGCGGCGACGACGAAGGGAGGACGAGAUAAGGUAGGGGACAAGAAAAUGCUAAGGAUUGAGAGUGUCAGUUAUGGGGAGCAUUUGAUGAACAAGUAUGAUGAUGGUGGUGGUGACAACGGUGAUGAUGAUGAUAAUAAUGAUGAUGGUGAGAUGGGGGAUGAUGUGGAGAGCAAGAGUAUGUAUGGGGUGUUUGGGGUGAUGGACGUGCAGAAGAUGCGUGAUCCCUACAUGAGGCAUGGGGAUGGGAGGCGGGUCAUGCAUGGAUGAUGAUGAGCCAUGAUGCAUAAUGAUGGAUGAUGGAUGAUGCCAUGCGUGUAUUGGUAGAUGAAUCAUAGCAUGGACCUUAUUUUAACUUUGGAUGGGCUAAGGAGAAAGAAUGGAAUUUUUGGGCCUUCUUAUUACACUAAAUUGCAAAAAAGAAAAAAUUCUUUGUCCUUUGAUUUUUGGAAGUUGUUCUAUUGCUAUCAAGGUUGAGAACUGAUAUGUAGAGUGUUGGACUACUUUGUUGAUACAGAUAUCAAUGAAAUUGUUGGCUAAUUAAAUACAUUUUGUUUUGUGUGAAGUGAAUUUUUGCUCUUAGUUAAAUUAAUUUUCCUGUAAUUUUUUUUAUCCUUUGUUGGUUUUAUCGAAUAUUUAUCUUCUUGUAACUUAUGAUAAUAUACGUUGAAUAUAUAUAUAUAUAUAUAUAUAUAUAUAUAUAUAUAUAUAUAUAUAUAUAUANAAUGAUUGUUGUUCUCCAAUAACUUAAGCUGCUAGAGAAUAAUAUUUUUUCUACUUUUAAUUCAAACACUUCAGCUUUUUUAUAAAUCCAAAACAUAGGUUUAAAUUAAAUAUAAAAAAAAAUUAAUAAGACUAAAAAAUUGAUAGAACUCAAAACACAAAACCUCCUACUUUAAUAUCAUGUUAAAAAAAAAAAAGACCCAUCAAUUGUUCUCCAAAAUUUUAAACUACCACAACACAACACGGUAUUUUCAAAUUUUAUAUUCAACAAAAUAAAGUUGGUGCUAGUGGUUAAAACCACUAUCUGGUGGAGUUAAAAGAAAACUUGGUACAAUGGCUGAUGAUCUUUCUAUAAAAAUAGAAUGUAGUAAUGAUGAAAACAAAACACAAGAGUUAAAAGAAAACUUGGUACAAUGGCUGAUGAUCUUCCUAUAAAGAUAGAAUGUAGUAAUGAUGAAAACAAAACACAACAAAAAAAUGCAUUUUUUUUUUACCUUAUUACUAAGCAAACAGUGAAGCGCUAGAGAGAACAAAAGAGUUUACCAUGAUCCUCUUUAGUCAAAGUAAUUGCACAAAUUAUAGUUGAAAGAGUACAAUUCCUGUAGCAGGUAAUUAAAAGUGAUUGGAUACCACGAAUAAAGUGAAAUUAAAGAGCAUGUAAAACACAAAUUGCAGAUAUAAGUCUUAUGAUGCCCAAAUAUUUGAUCCAAAGGAAGUUGCAUAGUGUAAAUUGUUCACAUGAUACAGAUAAUAUCACUAAUGCCAGAUGAAUACUUUCUCCAUCUUCUCUUUUUCUUGUUAGUGAUAACAAGAAGGUUUUAGAAAAGGAAAUAAUUUUGGUUGUCUACAUUAAAAGUUGUGCUAAAGACAAUUGUUAAAAGGAAGAUGGCAUUUCAAAGCCGGCACGAAGACAGCCACAUUGCAGAAGUUUUACAACCUGAAACAAUGCCGACAGAAAAGGGUACACAUACUCGGGAGCGCAUUCGCCGCACAAACGCAAAGGAUUUUUCCUAAAGAACUCCGAUACAAAUUGAUGAUACAACAACAAUAGUAAAGUGAGGGAAAUGAGCCGCCAACCGAAGAAGAGUAGCAAGAAGGCUUCAAAUCUGCUGCCUUCUGGUAGGGCUAGUAAUACCAAAAGCACACAAAAAAUACGUAGGAAAAGAAAAGGGGGGAAAAGAUUAGGUUUACGUGCGUCGCUCAAGCAGCGCAUUUAUUAUACCUCGCAGCAAAACGACUUUCACCAAAAUUACCAAAUGAGAAGGAGGGGGAGAAUACCUUUUUCCUUUAUAGUUUCAGGAACACGAACUCCACAAUGGCCGGUAUCUCCCCAAUCAUCCUGAGAGUCUCCUUGUCAGGUUCCUCAUCAACGCCAAUACCCAUUAUAGCUUGUUUUCCUGGCGCAUUCCUCCCAACACUCAUGAAAUUCACAUUGAUGUUUUUCUCGCCGAGAAUUUUUCCCACUCGUCCGAUUAUACCAGGCUGAUCGACCUGCCGACACAGUAUCAGAUUCCCCUCCAAGCCCACAUCCACAGUGAAAGAUCCCACAAGUGUUAAAUAGGGUAUACCAUCUUUAACCCUUCCCUCUAGGACUAUAUCCCCGUUAUUAUCCAGUAAAGCGCCAGCAAAUUUGGAGUUCACGUUCGCGAUGUGGACUCGGAUAGAUUCAAUAGGAACUUCCAGAGAGCCACCGAUGGAGAUUCUCUCUUCGCUGAUUCGGAGACCUCUUUGUUUGGCAGUGUAGUCGGCGUUCACAAUGUUAAUGCGAACGCUGGAGAUGGGUUCGAGAAUGCCUUUGGUUAUCAUGGCUCGGAGAAUUCGAGUGUCCAAGUCAUCAGGGUCUCGAGCUGAGGAGUAUACUACUUUUACUCCUCGAACGCCACUUCCGCCAGUUAUGAGUUGGACAGCUAACUUGCCUAGCUUCUCGGCAAGGGCAAUAUAAGGGGAUAGCUCGGAUAAAACCUGUGAGAGAAGGACAAUAGUUUUAGAUAGAAGUUUAAAUGUCCAUCAAGCUGCUAGAGCUUGUUUCACCUGGCUAAGAAUUCUGCACAUAUGGUCUCUGAGUAAAGCUACUCGAAGAAGUACUUAAAACUCUAUUAUUUAAAAGGUUUUCUGUAUCCAUAGACUACUACAAGUCUACAAGUGAGAUAAUGCAAAUAGCAUUCGAGAGUUACUAUCUGCACACAUGCCCCAGAAACUUCACUUAUUUGCAAGUGUCCCCAAACAUUUAGAUGGUUUUGCAUAUAUGCCCUGCAAGCAACGAACAUAAAAGCCAAGGUUCUCACUCUGGAAUGGGUUUUGCUUUGCAGGAUAUAUAUGCAGAAAACCCAACAACUGAAACUGGAAGCAAAAUCUCCAAAUUGAAGCUUCUGCUUUUCAGUUCUCAAUGCUCAUUUCAGCUUCCAGUGACAGCAGGAAGGGUCCACCAAGUUUUUGCCACUUGCCUGGCUUUUGCUUCUCAUACAGAAGCUAUUCCAGAAGAUUGGGCGAAAGAGGCACAACUAGUUAAAAGUGAUCACCUCAGCAGGAACCAUGGGGGCAUUCACAGCCGUAGCAGCAAGUUCACCUUUCAAUGCUCCAAUAACAGCUUCUGCUAUUUCUAUGGCUACACCUUCCUGUAAUUAUUAUUAAAUGUUAGAGAAGCCGAUUUCAAUUGGACUUCAAAUAAUUGCUGGAUUAAAAAGCCAAACCUGAGCUUCAAUUGUGCUAGCUCCGAGAUGCGGUGUAACAGUAACAUUUUCAUGCAGCACCAGCUUGCUAUCCUUUGGCGGGGGUUCUUCAGCGAAUACAUCAAGUGCCGCCUAUCAAGAUAUUAAAAAAGUCAGUAACAUAAAGAAUUUAUCUCAAGGAAAUGGAAAUUGUUGUAGUGGUUCAGAUCCUGUAAUUUUAUUAAUGUAAUGAAAUAAGAAAAGGUCCUAAAAUAGAGCAUGCCCACAAUGAAUGAUGUAAUUGCAACAUGUAAGAUAAGUAAAUUCAUCAAAUCUCUGUUUAAGGAAUGAAAUCAAAGGUUGUAAAGUCAAUGACUGAUACCACCCUAAGAAUGGUAACUAUGACCAAUAGCAUCUUGUGGAUUAAGGGCCUGUUUGCCUUGGCUGGAUGGAGCUUCUGUAGAUAUGCUUUUAAAUUAAGCUAGCUUUUUAAAGAACUAUAUUAUCAGCCUUCAAUUCUUUUCUUUUCUUUUCUUUUCUUUUCUUUUCUUUUUUUUUUUUUUUGAGGUAACACUACCAGCCCUUUUGUCAUAAUUCCUUCAUCAGCUUCACACUGAGCAAAAGCAGACAGCACUGCUACAGAGAUGCAAAAGAUCAUUCCAGCUUUUCACUAGAGGAAAAGCUCUAGCCGUUUUGCUUGCCAAUCUCCUGCCUACUGCUACUCAGACUAUAGUUACUAAGUUUGAAAAAAAUCAGAAGCAAAAUUUGCCACAACAGUUUACCUGUGCAACUGUUCCACUAUCAAGUGCUCUCACUAAGGCAUCUUCAUCAAUUACUCCACCCCUUGCGACAUUUAUAAUCCUCACUCCUUUUUUCACCUUUGAAAAGGUCUCAUCGUUGAACAGCUUUGAGGUAUUAGCAGUCAGCGGCAUGUGGAGUGAUAUAAAGUCUGCAGUGGAUAUAGCUUCAUCAAAUGAUACAAGUUCUACCCCAAUUGCUCGGGCCCUGUCCGCAGGGGCAUAAGGGUCAUGAGCAAUAACAUGCAUGCCAAGCCCUUUUGCACGCCUAGCAACUUCUGAACCAACUUUCCCGAAUCCCAUCACGGCCAGCGUUUUUCCCACCAGAGAGACGCCAACAUAUUUAUUUCGUUGCCAUUUUCCUGAGUAAUGCACAGUAACAUGCUAUUAACUUAAUCACGCAGACUAUAAUUUACUUCAAGUAGAAACUAGUGCUCUUAACCCCAACUCAAGAAGAAAACCAACUUAAUAGAAAAAUAUGGUGGGAGAGAAUUUACCACUUCAUCUGAGGACAGAAUGACGCACAGGUAUGAGAAUGUCUAUCCAAAUAUGGUACAGGAACAAAAAUAAAAGAACUGGAAUAAAAAUGUUGAAGUGUUUAAUAAUUUUGAACAAAGUGAAAGAAAAUUUGAUUCAACAGAAUCUAUGUGCUGCAAUAGUAUAAGGCUCAUGAAGCAGACAAGGAUAGGGAAAUUUGUGAACAGCAAAGGGAGAUCUUUUAGCAGAAUUGAACCCAAGUGCAUGCAAGUUUCCAAACUCUUUAAAUUGCUUUGGCUAGAAUAAGAAUAAUAAAAUGCAGGUCACUAUGCCUGAAUAUUUUUGCCCAAAGAAGUCAUUUAGAAGAAAUGCAACUACUACGCUAUGAACUUUGAUGAUUCCUUAAGAGUCGUACUGUACACUCACAAUGUUAAACUUUGCCAACUUGUCGAAGCUGACUUAACACAACACUACAAGCAGACACAGAAAGAAACAGUUUCUGCAUAUGAUAAAUGAGAACUACUGAAACCUGAGAACGGUAAAAAAAAAAUACUUUACAAUGAAAGGGCCUUACAACACUAUGGUUGUUGUCCCUAGCAGUUCAAUAGUAGGUGCCUAUGUAAUGUCAAAAGCAGACGCAAGGCAACUAAGUUGGUUUAAAGCACAUACCUACCACCCAAGCAAUAUACAUUGAUAAAGAAAUCUGUGGACAAUAGUGUAUCUACAAGGACCAAAUGAAAGAACAAAGAAAGCACUUCUUCAACAACAAGCGUAGCACAAAUAAUUGGUUUGACGUAACCACCAAAACGACAGUUAUACAGCUACCAUCACUCAGCAAACACUGACAACUAGCACGCAAUCAAGUAAAAAGAGAGAACUACAAUUCUUUCGACAGUGCUAUUUACAGAGCAUGCCAUCCACCGACUGAAAAACAUUGAACUCGAUCGGUACUCAGCACGGCAGGCCUAAAUUUGAUUUAUGCAUAUCAGUGCAUAUUUGCCUCUCUUGACAUAUUUGAUCCAUGAAUACCUGCUAUUUAUUUAUGCAUAUCAGUGCCUAAAUUUGAUUUAUAUAGGCAGAUUGGAUUCAUUGAAUUUGGUCAAACCAGGUAAGUGGUUUAGUGAACAUACCACCCAAUCAUUGCCCUUUUCCUUGAGCAAAAGGAGCUAUAAUAUGUAGUACAUUAAUAAAAAGCUGGUCCCUAUGACAGCCACCCACUCAAAAACCUAAAUUAAUGCGAGGCUCAAUAAUUUCCAAUCACACCACAUAAUAAUUCCACAUAAUUCCAAACCUAAGUUAAUGCGAGGCUCAAUAAUUUCCAAAACAUCACAUUCCACCGCAAACUCUGAACAGGGACAUUUUAAUUACUUAUCUAUUCGCCAAAAAAUUGGAAAAGCAGUACUGUAUAUUCCACAAUUGUGGAGGAAAUUUUCUAACUACAUUCUCCAUCAAAUUCCCACUACACUCGCGUCGACAAACACAACGCAAGCAUUUCAGAUGCACCGAUCCAAAAAUAUAGGUAGAUCUAAAGAGAUCCAAAACGACAAAAACUUUCGAUCCCAGUCGAAGAUCGGAUCCAAUUAAGGAGGAAGGAGACGAAGGGAAUGAGAUAUCGAGAUGGGGACGGGGAGCGAUUGCUUACCGGCCUUCAUGGAGGCGUCGGCCUGGGCGACGUUGCGGGCCAUGGCGGCGAGGAGCGCGAUCCCGUGCUCGGCGGCGGCGACGGUGUUGGCGGUUGGGGCGUUGACGACGAGGCACCCGUGCUCGGUGGCGGCUUGGAGGUCGACGUUGUCGAUCCCGACCCCGGCCCUCCCCACCACCUUGAGCCGCCCCGCCGCGGCCUCGAACACCUCGCGCGUCACCUUCGUCCCGCUCCGCACGAUCAGCGCGUCGCACCGCGCGAUCCUCGCGCGGAGGUCCUCGGGGGGCAGGUUGUAGCCGCAGUCCACCUCGGCGAAGCCGCGGAGGAGCUCGAGCCCCGCCUCGCCGAGCUUCUCCGCGACGAGCACCCUCGGGCGCGGCGAUCCGGCGUCCUCCGCCUCCGCCGCCACCGCCGCCGCGUCGGCGACGGCGCAGAGAGGCCGCCGGUAGCGCAGUGGUAGGAGGAGGAGCGAGGUACUCGGGUCAUGGGCGAGGCGGAGGCCGAGGAAUGGGGAUCGGGAGCGGCAGAGGAGGGAGGAGAGGGAGGAGGGGAGGGGGGAGAGCUCCGCCACAGCCACGGCGGAGGAGGAAGGAGAGGGGAAGAGGGGCUUCGGCGGCGCCAACGCCAUGUUUGAGAGAGAGAGAGAGAGAGAGAGAGAGAGUGCGCACGGGGAGACAAGGGGAACGGGGCGGGGCCUUUCCAAAUGCGUUGAUAUUUGCGCUAAAAAAAAAUAUUAAAAAAAGGGGGGGCACGAGGAAUAUGAUUAUGAUAUAUUUUAUUUUUGCUAAAACUGUAGUGGGACCCGCGCAAAUACGAGAAAACGCAGUGGGACCCACGCAACUACGAUAAAUCGUUCUCUAGACACGGUUCACCACGUCAUCAUGAACCAGAGUGCGUUUUCUCAUGCCCCUUCAAAAGACUAUAACUUGGACACAUUAAAAUCACCAAUUCAUUCUCUUAAAUUUAUCAUUUUUAAUAAUAAAUAAGAAUUUACUAAUACCGUACGGUAAAGAUGUUGAUAGUAUUUUUAUUUUCUCCAAUACCAUUAUAAAACUAAAUAUUAUAUACAUAAGGGAAUUCACUAAUAUUAAUAAGGCUAAAUUACAGAAAACCCUCCUGUAAUAACCCGCUUUUUUACUUUCUUCCCUGACAUUUAAAAACCUACACUUUGCCCCCCUGUAAAAUAAAAAAUGUUCACAGAGGGGUUACGGUGUGUAAAAUGACCAUUUUGCCCCUCGCCAUUGUCGUCUUCUUCCCCAUCUUCCUCAGCUGCCCCUUCGUUCGGCCGCGAUUCCAAUCUCAAUCGGCCGCGAUUUCUCUCCAUUUCCUUUUCCACCUGCUCCCCUUCUCCUCCUGCACCCUCGCCGCCCUUGAUUUCGGCGACAGUAGGAGAAAACCGAGGUGGGCGACAGUAGGAGAAGGGCAAAGAAUGCGAAAGCGAGGCGGCGGAGGACGGCGAAGGGGAUGUGGGUGAGGGCGCGGCAGUGGAGGACGGCGAGGUGGCUAGGCGGCGAGGCGGCAGCGAGGUGGCGAGCUGGAGGGUGGCGAAGCAACAGGGAGAUGGCGGAGGGGUAUUUUCGGCAUAAAAAUAUAUUUUUUAACGGAACCCUAACGGUAGGGGGUGAAGUGCAUAUUUUUUAUUUUACAUGGGGGCAAAGUAUAGGUUUUUAAAUAUCAGGGAGGGAAAGUGAAAAAGCGGGUUAUUACAAGGGGGUUUUCUGUAAUUUAGCCUAUUAAUAAUUUAUUGCGCUAAAACUACCUAUCUAAUUAGCUUUUUAACCCCGAGCUAUUAUACUAAAUAUUUAAUUCUUACAUAUCUAAAUGUAAGUUAUUUUUAUUUAAUACAAUAUAUAAGACUAAACUAAUCAUAUGAAAAUUAAUUAAAUUAAUUAUUAACAAUACAAUAAAUUAAGCAGAUCUAUUUCCACAGCGACUAUGCCCUUGUAAAUUUCCUGAUUUGGUGAAUACAGCUCCUUCGGGAUGUACAUAAUACAACUUUUAUGAGCUGGUUGUCCAGCGAUGAAACCGUAACAGUAUAUCGCAACCGAUUCAUUACAACAUACAUGAUAUUAGUAUACAGAAAUAAUAUCUUCGGCAUUACUUUAGACUCAUUAAGACAAAUGCGUCAAACGAGAAUUCGUGGUGCGUGGUGACCACGGAACGCUCAAUAGGUAGAGUUUGAUAUUGCAAUUGGUAUAUGCGUUCACAAAGUUAGUCUUUAAAGUUGGACCUAGAAUAUUGACGGCCGAGUGUGGUCGUGCAAUGGAGAUGCCGGUUGGCUGGCGAAACGGAAUCCUACAAAUUUUUAAUAUAUGCGGUGAAAAAAUACAAUAAAAAAUAUAUUAUUUGCACAUCAUAAUGAGUCAGUUAUAAUAUAUUUUUUAUAAUUCUAUCGAAAGAUAAAAAAUAUAUUUUUAUAUAUUAAUCAAUUAUGUUUUGUCUACUGGUGUUAGAGGAACCAUCAUAACAAACGAGCUCUAAGCCCCUUAUAAGAAUUUAGACCUAAGUUACAUAUCUAUAAAAAAAAAAAAAAGCAUUUAAUAUUCUAAGAAAAGAAAUACAGUUUUAUAAUUCAUUAUUGUUAAAUUCUCGCAAAAAUCAACACCAUAAAAAGAAAAAAAAAAUCAUUAUUUAAUUUAUAAAAACAAAAUUACGUUUUGUUUUUCUUAAAUUCUAAACGCCUUUGACAAGCUAAAUUUUAUGUUUUGAAGCUUAUAACGUAGAGUUUUAAAAAUACGACAUAUAAAAUAUAUUUACAUAACAAAUAUAAAAAAUUUAAAAUAUGAAGUAGUUUUUAGACGGUCAGCUUAACAUUUAAACUUUUAACCUUUAUUUGAAAUUGCCGAGACAGGAGCGCAUCAUGUUCAUAAGUUAUACGAACUCGACUUCAGAUUCCAUUCGACUAAAUUUUGAGAGUAUGAAUCUUAUAUGUUUUUUAGUGCAAAUUCAAUAAUUAAUUUACUGGUUUUGUGAGUUCAGCGAUAUAAUAAAUAUAUGUUGUGAUAAUUUUGUUUGAUUCGUCACUUAAAUUGCGCACUAUAUUGCAUACCAAGAGGCCUAGACAAUAAAUAGAGAGGCGACAACCUUAGAAUAAAAAAAAUUUCUAAAACAAAUAAAUAAAAAAAAACAAAACUACACCCAAAGGACAAAAAUUUUGUGGGCGUCAUCCCUAAACAAUUUGUUUGGGACCGAUACUGACGGGCACCGCGUGGUAUGCGGCACCCAUCGCGACCCUCGGAAAUGAAAAAAAAAAAAAAUUAUGGGCUCCAAUUUUUCAGAAAGAGAAAGAAAGAAAUCGGUGGUGGAAAGGAGCGUACACUACACGGAGCCAUCGGCUUCGUCUCCAAACAAGUUGUUUGGACCAAUGUCCACAAAAUUUUUGUGGACUACCAACCCCCUGGGUCCCAAGAGUAGAAAUUAUUUAAAUUAUUGUAUGUGGACCGAGUCCACCACGUCGGCUUGGACUCAAAGGGGGAACAGUGACCGAGGGGCGGACUAUGCCGCUGAUGACGUGGUGAACCGGGUUCAGCAAGAGCCGAGAUGUUCCGACAAAAGCGAACGCACGUGGCCUCCGAUCUUGCGGUGGAUGAUCCGAGAGUGGAUCGUCCGAGACAGAGGAACAUGUGCAUCUCCACGUGGCGGAUUUUCAUUCGUCGCAUCCACUUCGCUAGAGAUGCAAACGGGUACGGAUCGGAGAUUUUAUUCGAACUCGGAACCCAAAUAGCGCAUUUAUCUAAUAUUAACCGAAUAUGAUUUUAAAUAUGAAUAUAGAAACAAAAAUCUAAUAUAUUCGAAUCAGAUCUAAAUCUAAAUAUAUUUUAGAUUAUAUAAUAUAUAUAUAUAUAUAAAUGUCAAAUAUUAUACUUAAAUUUAUAAAUUUUAAAUUUUAAUAUAAUAUAUUUUAAAAUAUAGUAAACAGAAAUAAUUGUUUCAGAUUUGUUCGGAUUUCAGGUUUAUAAUCUGAUUCGAUUUCGGAUAUGAAUUUUUAAAAUCUAUUGGGUUUAGAUUCGGAUUCGGUUUUGAUUUUCGAAUUUAGUUGUCGGAUUCGAGUUCAUAUUUCUAAAAAGUCAUACCAAAUCCGACCUAUUGACAGCCCUAUCAUUGGUCCCCAUAAUGUCCAGUUCCAUAGAGUCUGGCUACUAUGCUAUCAACAGCGCGAAGCACUCAGUGCUACCAAGUUUUCCGCCGUUAGAUCCACCCCUUUGAUCAUUUUCAGCCGUUAGAUCAUACUAUUCAACCAACCAUCUAAUCAAUCCUAGGAGACCCACAUCAUCCUAACCGCACAUCUCUCAAUCGAAUGGCCGAAAAUUUGGUAGCACCAAUGAUUUGGUGCUAUUAAUAGCAUAGUAGCCUAGUUCAGUUCCAUAUUACAAUUACCUAUAUUUUUGGGAUGCAAUUUGUACCGUAAUUCACCACUAAUUUUGUAACAUUAUUUUCACGAAUGCUGCAAUCCUGUUGUAUAAAUAAAUCUUAUAGAAGGCAUGAUUGAGAUUUUUAAAAUUAGAAGUAUGCUAUGAUAUUUAAAAUAUUUAUAUAUAUAUAUAUAUAAAUACAAAUAGUAAGUUUUAAAGAUAUUUUUCAUACAAAUUAAAUAUAAAUAACCUUUUACCAAUCAUUAAUUCCGUGUUUUGGUACCCUAUGUAGGUACUUGUGAUCAAUUUUAGGCCUCUAAUAGAUAUCAUUUUUUUUAUUCUUUUAUUAAUUAACCAAUGUGAAGCAAUUCAUAUGUAAAUUUGGAAUCCAGCUACAAUCCUUUUAUGAGGACGGAGGCCUUCGUCCCUGUCGUUUUAGAUUAUAAGAAUUUCGAAUCGAUGAUCGAAACUAUUAAAGUUAAUAUAUAGUAUUUAUAGUGUCUAAAAACUAAAUUUUAUUUAAAUUUUAAAAAAUUAUUUAUGUAGUGAUUAAUGGAUCACAAAAUCGACAUUUUUUACAACCUAUAUGAGCCAUUUGCUUGUUUAAGGGUGUAGAACAAUCUAAACAGUUUAAAUUUGUGAUAAUUUUUUUUUUUACUAUUUAGAUGACAUUAGCCGUUUAAAGGUGUAGGACAAUCUAAAUAGCUUGAAUUUUUGAUAAUUUUUUUUUUUACUAUUUAGAUAACGUUUGAUUACUCCGAUCAUGAAUUGAAAAAUUCUAACAUCUAUUUUCACAAGAUUAUUCUUUUUUCACUGUUUAUUUUUUGAUUCUUCAAUAAACUUGAUAACGAAUUUUAAAAUUUAUGAAAUUUAGUUUCUGAACGUCAUAAAUACUCUAAAUAAAAUUUAAUAGUUCCGAUUAGCGAUUCGGGAUCCCUAUCAUCUAAAACGACUUAGAAGGACGAAGACCUCCGCCAUCUUAAAAGGAUAGUAACCGGACUCACACUUUACGGGCCAAAUUAGGCCACAACAUGAUCCGAAUCCACGCCAUGCUGGGUCACUUAUAUCCGAACCAUAGCCCGGUAUCGGUCCAGGCCCAAACAAGUAACCGCCUGAAUUAUUUUUAUUUGUGUUUAAUUUUUAUAAUAAAAUUCUUUUUAACUUUUUUAACAUUAAUUUUACAAGAUAAAGGAAAAACCAUGUUACUCGAUAGAUAGUUUUAAUUAUAUUUGAAAGAAUAUUUUUUAAUAUUAGCCCACUUAUGUCCUAGCAUUUCGGCCCAUUUGUAACAGCCCAGUAGACCCGAGUCCAGCACGGCCCGUAGCCGUGUCCGAUUAGGUCUGAUGACAGGCCUACCCGCAUGCCGCCCGACCCGUUUUACACCCUUAGUCAUAUUCCUGUAUUUCAUAUAGAAAAAAUAAUUGAAAGCUACGGGAAUAAAUUAAAUUUAAGCAUUUCUUUAGUCAAAUUUUGAUGUAGGUCGCGUUAAUGGACUAGCUCAUGUUACGCUCGAAAAUAAGAUAAAUUAUCUAUUUAAGUGCUAUGCUGAACAAAAUGUUAACUAAAAAAACCUUUUAAACCUCACACUUUUUUUUUUUUUUGGAUUUCUUUUUCUUUCUAUUGUUUUCUUAUUUAUUAUCUAUUACGUUCUUUUCUAAAAUCUACAUCAUAAUCAUUUAGUUUUUCUCCACUCUUUUGCUUCGUUCUUUCGCUACAUCAUAAUCAGUGGCGUAUCUUUUCUUUUUAUUCUUUUAGAUAUGACUUUUACUUUCUCUUUUUAUCUAAUUUUGACAUACUUACAUGUUUUUUCUUUUUUUUUAGAUAAAAAUAUACUUAUUUUAUUCUCCAAAAAGCGCUAAAUUAAUGUAAUCAAAUUCUACGAUCUAUUACAAUCGAAGUCGCUUUCACUAGAGCCAUUUUUUAACUUUCCUUGAACAGUAGCUUAGUUGGCAGUAUUAGCAAUAGAUAAGCCUCUACCCUCUGGGCCCGAGGAAGUCGACUGUGUCAUAUUUGCACCACACCAGUAAUAACUAAAUUAAUCGUAUCUAUCUUUUUAAAAAUAUAUAUAUAUAAAAUAUUUUUUAUAUAAUUAUGAUGUGACAGUAUGACAGAUUAACCUAAAAAGAUCUAUUUAAUUAGUUGAAAACGCCAUGUCACCGAUAUAACUAGUACAUUCUACAAUAUUUUUGUACAUUUAUUUAUUCAUUUAUUCAUUCAUUAGUCGGCUGUUUUGUCCUAUGCGUAGCGAAAUCAUCAUUAUU